UGGCGCUCCGCCCCCUUGUCCCCGGCUGAAUCCCGCGAGUCGCUGGGCUCGGGAUUCCGUUGAGCUGCUGGGUUGGGCCGGGCAGUCUGAGCUCGCUCUGUGACGGGCCGCUGCGGAGGCCAAGGAUAAAAGGAAUAAUCGCCUCUCAUCUGACGUUACACAGAAGAAACCUGGUUUAACGUGAGAAAACUAAGUAACUUUCCUAAAAUGUCUAAGUGGGAGAUCCCGACGUGAAGCCAAGGCUGACUCCCGAGGGUGUGCUCCACCACACCCAACUAAUUUGCCAUUUCUGGAACUCUUGGCUCUGCUGGAAAUGAAGAGAAGCUUGUCUUAGAAGAGAACACACAGCCAGGUUUGAGGCCAAGGCCUUUGGAGAAUUGAAACCUUCCCUGCUUGGAGGGAGACUUCGAUCCUAAACCUUAGAAACACUGGAUUGUGGCCAGAAGAGGUCAAGUUCUGAUUAACUUCUCCAUAAUUAAAAGAAGGAAAAAAAACCUUGAUGUCUGAGUCAUCUGUUUGGAUGCAUAGAGGCCACUUACAGAUGAGGAGGAAAGUGAAACGCAACCUGGGUGUGGUGGUACAUGCCUGUAAUCCCAGCACUCCAGAGGCUGAGACAGAGAGGAUUUCAGUUCAGCCUGGGUAAUUUGGUGACUUAAUGAGACCCCAUCUCAAAAUACAAUGUAAAGGAAAGGGCUGCUCAUGUUACCUUUCCUGCUUUGUGCCCGCUGUGUUGUUUCUGUUCUGCAGUGCUUGUUUGCCAUCCCAGCCUUGGAGCCAGCUGAUUAUGGACUGAAACUUCUAAGAACUGUAAGCCAAAUAAACCCCUUCCCCUUAAAAAAAAAAAAAAAGAGAAGAAAUAGGGCUGAAGGCUGGGUGUGGUAGUGCACUCCGGUAAUACCAGCAGUCUGGAGGCUGAGGCAAGAGGAUCACUGUGAGUUCAAGGCCAGCUUGGGCUGCAUAGCAAGACCUUGUCUCAAAAAAAAAAAAGGAGAGAGAGAGAGAAAAGAUGGGAAUUGCUUCUGGAGGCUAUACAUUCCCCAAAGUAUUAAAAAAAAAAAAAAAGACUCAAAAUGUGCACCUUAGUGCAAGGCCCUGGGUCGAGUUUUAAAACAAAAAACGUUAAAGAUAGUUGUAAGACAGAAGACGCUGUCACUGGGUGCUCAAAUGAAACCCAGGGGCCUGGGGUGUGGUGCAGUGGCAGGCAAAAGUCCCAGAUUCCACCCCAGCACCUUGCACCCACGCGCACACCCACAUGCACAUGCACAGAAACCGAAAAUGCGCACACUUUCUGCCCACAGCACCCUCCACACCGGCCUCCUGGGCUGGGGAUUUACCUCAGUGGUUCAGGCGCCUGCCUCGCAAGCGCAAGGUCCCGGGUUCCAUCCCUGGUACACCGCCCCCCCCCAAAAAAAACUACCACACCGGCCUCCUCCCCAAGCCCAGUGCAUCUCCUGUAGGGUGCAGGAGGGGCAGACCUCAGGCUCCACGAGCCCAGGACACAGGCUUUGUGAGCUCCCCUGCAGGGCCUGCCACACAGCAGCAUUCUCUGCAUCUCCAGUGAGUCUCUGGUUUGGUUGGCGGUUUCGCCUCUCAAGCCCUCAGCAUAGACCAGGUGAAUGUGUGUGCCACACCUUUGUCCAGGUACGGCAUCCUGGACAAAUAAAAUAUUAUUAUUAUUUUUUGAGAUAGGGUCUCGCUAUAUAGUCCACAGGCUGGCCUCGAACUCAGGACGAUCCUCCUGCUUCAGCCUCCCAAGUGUGCACGACCACACCUGGCUCCUGGAUGUUAAUUUUAACAGAUACAUGGUGUGGGGGUGUCAGGUGUGUGUGUCUGUGCCUGUGGAGCAGGAAAGGAGAUGGUAAUAAAAUGUCACAAUGUGAGCCCUCCUAAAAUAGAUUAUUGAGAAGUCCCUGUGCACCAAAGUUAGGUCAUAUAAAAUAUACUUUGAGCUCAGCAGCACAGCCUUGGAAGCUUGAGGUCCUGAGUUCAAUCCCUGGUACCCCCCCCCAAAAUAUAUAUAUAUAUUAUAUAUGUUGAAAAAAUACAUACUUUGGGCCAGGGAUUUAGCUCUGUGGUUCUAGUGCCUGCCGUGUAAGCACAAAGUCCUGAGUUCGAUCCCUGGUACCAAAAAAAAAAACCACACAAAAAAGAAAAUAAACAUAGAUACUUUUACAUGUUUUGACCUAUAUGUGUCCUGGAUUUACACCUAAAAUGUUCUCUGAGCAGGAACCUUAUUUAUCUGUGUAUUUAUAUAUAUUUCUUUGUAGUACUGGAGAUUGAACCCAGGACCUUCACUGAGCUACAUCCCCAGCCCAUUUACAUUUAUUUUUCAAAAAUUAUUGUUCAGUUUUUUAAAAUGUUAGCUGGGUGUGAUGGUGCACACCUGUACUCCCAGUACUUGGGAGGCUGAAGAAUGAGGAUCACCACAAGUUCAAGUCUGAACUGCUCCAAAUAGUUCAAGGGACAACCUGAAAUAUAUAUUGAGACCCUGGCUCAAAAAAUACGAAGAGGGAGAGAGAGAGAGAGAAAGGGAGAAAAUAAAAAUGAUUAUUAACCAGGAAUGGUGCCGCAUGCCUGUAAUCUCAGCAUUUGGGAGGCUGAGGCAGGAAGAUCAGUGGUAAUUCCAGGCCAGCCUGGGGCUGCAGAGUGAGUUCAAGGCCAGCAAGGACUACAAAGGGAAACCCUGUCUCCAAAAAACAAAACAAAAAAGAAAAUAAAUGUUUAUUAGUACAUGUUUGCUGUUUACCAUGGGGAGUUAGUACAUGUAUGUAACACAUCAAUUGGGUUUUUUAAAAUAAAUUUUAUUUUAUCCCAUUUCCCUCCCUCAAGGCAUCAAUUGUUUUGUUUUGUUUUGGUUUUGGUUUUAUGCACACUGGCCUUGAACUCACAGCAAUCCUGCCUAAGCCUCCUAGACGCUGGGAUGACAGGCCUAUGCCAUCACACCCUGUUUUUAAAUUUUUGAUACAGGAUUUCAAUUGCCCAAAUUGGGCUCAAAUUGCAAUCCUCCUGCCUCAGCCUUCCAGAGUACUAGAAUUACAGGGGUGUGCCAUCACACCCAGCUUGUGUGUCUGUUUUUUGUUUGUUUUGGUUUUUGGUUAUUUGAGACAGAGUCUUGCUGUGUAGUCCAGGCUGGCCUUGAAUUCACUGUGCAGCCCAGGCUGGCUUCCAACUUGCACUGAUCCUCCUGCCUCAGCCUUCUGAGUGCUGAGAUUAUAGGUAUGUGCCACCAGAAAAAUUUUUGCCUGCCACCAGCUCCUUUUCCUGCCUUGUUUAAAAAAAAGAGAAGAGGGCUGGGGAUUUAGCUCAGUGGUUCCGCCUCCUGCCUGGCAAGCGCAAGGACCCCAGUUCGAUCCCUGGUACCAAGAAAUUAAUUAAUUAAUUUUUAAAAAAAG
RNAcentral lists this long non-coding RNA (3392 nucleotides) under Heterocephalus glaber (naked mole-rat). Its description in RNAcentral is "lncRNA (ENSHGLG00100052591.1)". Lineage: Eukaryota; Metazoa; Chordata; Mammalia; Rodentia; Bathyergidae. The record is from RNAcentral.